Molecule: transfer RNA, 66 nt
Filed under: Deltaproteobacteria bacterium
Lineage: Bacteria; Pseudomonadati; Myxococcota; Myxococcia
Description: tRNA-Leu
Source: RNAcentral
UGCCGGUUGGGUGGAAUCGUCCUCAUAACCCGAAGGUCGCAGGUUCAAAUCCUGCCCCCGCAACCA